Molecule: ribosomal RNA, 679 nt
Filed under: uncultured bacterium
Lineage: Bacteria
Description: bacterial SSU rRNA
Rfam family: Bacterial small subunit ribosomal RNA
Source: RNAcentral
CGGCAUCGAGCAGAGGGAAAAGGAGCAAUCCGCUUUGAGAUGGCCUCGCGUCCGAUUAGCUAGUUGGUGAGGUAAUGGCCCACCAAGGCGACGAUCGGUAGCCGGACUGAGAGGUUGAACGGCCACAUUGGGACUGAGACACGGCCCAGACUCCUACGGGAGGCAGCAGUGGGGAAUAUUGCACAAUGGGGGAAACCCUGAUGCAGCGACGCCGCGUGGAGGAAGAAGGUCUUCGGAUUGUAAACUCCUGUUGUUGAGGAAGAUAAUGACGGUACUCAACAAGGAAGUGACGGCUAACUACGUGCCAGCAGCCGCGGUAAAACGUAGGUCACAAGCGUUGUCCGGAAUUACUGGGUGUAAAGGGAGCGCAGGCGGGAAGACAAGUUGGAAGUGAAAUCUAUGGGCUCAACCCAUAAACUGCUUUCAAAACUGUUUUUCUUGAGUAGUGCAGAGGUAGGCGGAAUUCCCGGUGUAGCGGUGGAAUGCGUAGAUAUCGGGAGGAACACCAGUGGCGAAGGCGGCCUACUGGGCACCAACUGACGCUGAGGCUCGAAAGUGUGGGUAGCAAACAGGAUUAGAUACCCUGGUAGUCCACACCGUAAACGAUGAUUACUAGGUGUUGGAGGAUUGACCCCUUCAGUGCCGCAGUUAACACAAUAAGUAAUCCACCUGGGGAGUA